This 96-nucleotide microRNA precursor is filed under the name Trypanosoma vivax Y486. Lineage: Eukaryota; Euglenozoa; Kinetoplastea; Trypanosomatida; Trypanosomatidae. The record is from RNAcentral.
GAACACCAACCUGAAGAAGGCGCACGGCCGGAGCGAGAGGUGCUUCCCCACUCCCUUUUGCACCUCUCGCUCCGGCCAUGCGCCUUCUUCAGGUUG